This 911-nucleotide ribosomal RNA is filed under the name Latilactobacillus sakei. RNAcentral describes it as "bacterial SSU rRNA". It matches the Rfam family "Bacterial small subunit ribosomal RNA", at positions 231 to 1136 of the family's 1533-position model. The record is from RNAcentral. Lineage: Bacteria; Bacillati; Bacillota; Bacilli; Lactobacillales; Lactobacillaceae.
CCGCGGUGCAUUAGUUAGUUGGUGAGGUAAAGGCUCACCAAGACCGUGAUGCAUAGCCGACCUGAGAGGGUAAUCGGCCACACUGGGACUGAGACACGGCCCAGACUCCUACGGGAGGCAGCAGUAGGGAAUCUUCCACAAUGGACGAAAGUCUGAUGGAGCAACGCCGCGUGAGUGAAGAAGGUUUUCGGAUCGUAAAACUCUGUUGUUGGAGAAGAAUGUAUCUGAUAGUAACUGAUCAGGUAGUGACGGUAUCCAACCAGAAAGCCACGGCUAACUACGUGCCAGCAGCCGCGGUAAUACGUAGGUGGCAAGCGUUGUCCGGAUUUAUUGGGCGUAAAGCGAGCGCAGGCGGUUUCUUAAGUCUGAUGUGAAAGCCUUCGGCUCAACCGAAGAAGUGCAUCGGAAACUGGGAAACUUGAGUGCAGAAGAGGACAGUGGAACUCCAUGUGUAGCGGUGAAAUGCGUAGAUAUAUGGAAGAACACCAGUGGCGAAGGCGGCUGUCUGGUCUGUAACUGACGCUGAGGCUCGAAAGCAUGGGUAGCAAACAGGAUUAGAUACCCUGGUAGUCCAUGCCGUAAACGAUGAGUGCUAGGUGUUGGAGGGUUUCCGCCCUUCAGUGCCGCAGCUAACGCAUUAAGCACUCCGCCUGGAGAGUACGACCGCAAGGUUGAAACUCAGAGGAAUUGACGGGCGCCCGCACAAGCGGUGGAGCAUGUGGUUUAAUUCGAAGCAACGCGAAGAACCUUACCAGGUCUUGACAUCCUUUGACCACUCUAGAGAUAGAGCUUUCCCUUCGGGGACAAAGUGACAGGUGGUGCAUGGUUGUCGUCAGCUCGUGUCGUGAGAUGUUGGGUUAAGUCCCGCAACGAGCGCAACNUUAUUACUAGUUGCCAGCAUUUAGUUGGGC